Lutra lutra (Eurasian river otter) is the source of this 103-nucleotide small nuclear RNA. NCBI's taxonomy places the organism in Eukaryota, Metazoa, Chordata, Mammalia, Carnivora, Mustelidae. The record is from RefSeq and is a predicted model, not a curated record.
GUGCUCACUUGACAGCUCAUAUACUAAAAUUGGAACAGUCCCAAGAUUAGCUUAGUCCCUGCGCAAGGAUGACACGCAGAUUUGUCAGGUGGUCCAUAUUUUG